RNAcentral lists this ribosomal RNA (460 nucleotides) under uncultured bacterium. RNAcentral's name for it is "partial 16S ribosomal RNA". It matches the Rfam family "Bacterial small subunit ribosomal RNA", at positions 338 to 795 of the family's 1533-position model. The record is from RNAcentral.
CCUACGGGAGGCAGCAGUGAGGAAUAUUGGUCAAUGGCCGUAAGGCUGAACCAGCCACGUCGCGUGAGGGAUGAAGGAUCUAUGGAUUGUAAACUUCUUUUAUAGGGGAAUAAAGGUAUGCACGUGUGGAUAUUUGCAUGUACCCUAUGAAUAAGCAUCGGCUAACUCCGUGCCAGCAGCCGCGGUAAUACGGAGGGUGCGAGCGUUAUCCGGAUUUAGUGGGUUUAAAGGGUGCGUAGGUUGUUUUUUAAGUCAGCGGUGAAAGUUUGUGGCUCAACCGUAAAAUUGCAGUUGAAACUGGAAGACUUGAGUGUGGUUGAGGUAGGCGGAAUGCGUGGUGUAGCGGUGAAAUGCAUAGAUAUCACGCUGAACUCCGAUUGCGAAGGCAGCUUACUAAGCGAUAACUGACACUGAAGCACGAAAGCGUGGGGAUCAAACAGGAUUAGAUACCCGAGUAGUC